RNAcentral lists this ribosomal RNA (236 nucleotides) under uncultured Staphylococcus sp. RNAcentral describes it as "partial 16S ribosomal RNA". It matches the Rfam family "Bacterial small subunit ribosomal RNA", at positions 104 to 334 of the family's 1533-position model. Lineage: Bacteria; Bacillati; Bacillota; Bacilli; Caryophanales; Staphylococcaceae. The record is from RNAcentral.
GGGUGAGUAACACGUGGAUAACCUACCUAUAAGACUGGGAUAACUACGGGAAACCGGAGCUAAUACCGGAUAAUAUAUUGAACCGCAUGGUUCAAUAGUGAAAGACGGUUUUGCUGUCACUUAUAGAUGGAUCCGCGCCGCAUUAGCUAGUUGGUAAGGUAACGGCUUACCAAGGCAACGAUGCGUAGCCGACCUGAGAGGGUGAUCGGCCACACUGGAACUGAGACACGGUCCAG